AUGAAGAAAAGUAAUCAUUUCAACGGGCUGAUUCCGAAAGGUUCCCCAGGAGAUAUCCAUGGCAAACGAGUGGAAAAAAUCAAAGAAGAAUUAAGGAAACAUAAUCAAAAGACAGUACCUUUUGCUAUAAUCUCGGGCCUGAUUUUAAAUGGCAACUCAGAUGAAGCUACAAUUAGCAUGAUCUUGCAUGUGCAGCCAGUCCCUCCGCCUCCGCCUCCGCCAGGAUAUGGCCCGAUUUAUGGGUCAAGCCAUGUAGUUACACAAGGAUAUCCUUUAGUGUAUAAGGCAGCCCAGGUGGCACCUCCACCACCGCCAGAAUAUCAACAACAAUCACAGAAUACCAUGCAGAAUGAGUCUACAAUAAGAAAUGUUGUGAGGGAGGAAUUCAGAGCGUAUUUGGCAGAGGUAAGAGUCAUAACUGCAUAGUUUGUAGGUCCAAAAAAAUAUGUAGGAAUGAGGUCAAGAAGGUAGGCAACUGAGGCACAAAACAAAUG
Molecule: long non-coding RNA, 494 nt
Filed under: Bemisia tabaci
Lineage: Eukaryota; Metazoa; Arthropoda; Insecta; Hemiptera; Aleyrodidae
Description: lncRNA ENSASIAIIG013224
Source: RNAcentral